RNAcentral lists this ribosomal RNA (408 nucleotides) under uncultured bacterium. Its description in RNAcentral is "partial 16S ribosomal RNA". It matches the Rfam family "Bacterial small subunit ribosomal RNA", at positions 28 to 526 of the family's 1533-position model. The record is from RNAcentral.
GACGAACGCUGGCGGCGUGCUUAACACAUGCAAGUCGAACGGAGUGGCGAACGGGUGAGUAACACGUGGGUGACCUGCCCUGCACUUCGGGAUAAGCCUGGGAACCUGGGUCUAAUACCGGCUAGUUUUGGAUGGGCCCGCGGCCUAUCAGCUUGUUGGUGGGGUAAUGUCCUACCAAGGCGGCGACGGGUAGCCGGCCUGGGAGGGUGGACGGCCACAGUGGGACUGAGGCACGGCGCAGACGGCAACAGGGGGCAGCAGUGGGGAAUAUUACGCAGUGAGCGGAAGCCUGAUGCAGCGACGCCGCGUGGGGGAUGACGGCCUUCGGGUUGGAAACUCCUUUCACCAUCGACGCGGUAGAUGGAGAAGAAGCACCGGCUAACUACGUGCCAGCAGCCGCGGUAAUUC